CCUACGGGAGGCUGCAGUGGGGGAUAUUGCACAAUGGGGGGAACCCUGAUGCAGCGACGCCGCGUGAGUGAAGAAGUAUUUCGGUAUGUAAAGCUCUAUCAGCAGGGAAGAUAAUGACAGUACCUGAAUAAGAAGCCCCGGCUAACUACGUGCCAGCAGCCGCGGUAAUACGUAGGGGGCAAGCGUUAUCCGGAUUUACUGGGUGUAAAGGGAGCGUAGACGGAACGGCAAGUCUGAAGUGAAAACCCGUGGCUCAACCGCGGGACUGCUUUGGAAACUGUCGAUCUAGAGUGUCGGAGAGGUAAGUGGAAUUCCUGGUGUAGCGGUGAAAUGCGUAGAUAUCAGGAAGAACACCGGAGGCGAAGGCGGCUUACUGGACGAAGACUGACGUUGAGGCGCGAAAGCGGGGGAAGCAAACAGGAUUAGAUACCCGGUAGUC
RNAcentral lists this ribosomal RNA (439 nucleotides) under uncultured Oribacterium sp. RNAcentral describes it as "bacterial SSU rRNA". It matches the Rfam family "Bacterial small subunit ribosomal RNA", at positions 338 to 795 of the family's 1533-position model. Lineage: Bacteria; Bacillati; Bacillota; Clostridia; Lachnospirales; Lachnospiraceae. The record is from RNAcentral.